This 253-nucleotide ribosomal RNA is filed under the name uncultured bacterium. RNAcentral's name for it is "partial 16S ribosomal RNA". It matches the Rfam family "Bacterial small subunit ribosomal RNA", at positions 524 to 776 of the family's 1533-position model. The record is from RNAcentral.
UACGUAGGGUGCAAGCGUUAAUCGGAAUUACUGGGCGUAAAGCGUGCGCAGGCGGUGAUGUAAGACAGUUGUGAAAGCCCCGAGCUUAACUUGGGAAUUGCGCUUGUGACUGGCGAGCUGGAGUGUGGCAGAGGGAGGUGGAAUUCCACGUGUAGCAGUGAAAUGCGUAGAGAUGUGGAGGAACACCGAUGGCGAAGGCAGCCUCCUGGGCCAGCACUGACGCUCAUGCACGAAAGCGUGGGGAGCAAACAGG